Non-coding RNA from Pectinophora gossypiella (pink bollworm), 72 nucleotides. Lineage: Eukaryota; Metazoa; Arthropoda; Insecta; Lepidoptera; Gelechiidae. The record is from the annotation of a RefSeq genome assembly.
GGCCCGUUAGUCUAGUGGUAUGAUACUCGCUUUGGGUGUGAGUAGCCCCGGGUUCAAAUCCCGGACGGGCCG